This is a long non-coding RNA of Saccostrea cuccullata (small rock oyster), 237 nucleotides long. RefSeq lists it as uncharacterized. The record is from RefSeq and is a predicted model, not a curated record. Lineage: Eukaryota; Metazoa; Mollusca; Bivalvia; Ostreida; Ostreidae. The transcript has 2 exons.
AAAGAACAUUACAAAUCAUUUCUUUGUGGUUGUUUUCCUUUGGAACAUCUGUGAACAAACAUUCUGUUUUGUCUUUCUGAUACAUGAAAAGCGUCCAAAAAUCAUUUGGAAUUGUUGUGUUAAACCCUGAUAUAAUAAUUUUAAGUUUCUGCAAUGAUAAAGUCAUCAGGUUUCUGCAUGCUUUUCUGACACAUCAUGUACAUUUUUUUUCUACUUGUUUGUCUUUGUUCACAAAAA